Molecule: long non-coding RNA, 361 nt
Organism: Mesoplodon densirostris (Blainville's beaked whale)
Lineage: Eukaryota; Metazoa; Chordata; Mammalia; Artiodactyla; Ziphiidae
Exons: 4
Source: RefSeq, a predicted model, not a curated record
GGAAAAUUACACUGAACAGUAAGUGGAAUGGUGCAUGAGGGAAAAGAAAAUACAGAAUUGGCUGACUUCUUCCAACACCUCUCUGGCAGGAGAAGGGGGACACUGCCUGAUUACUUCCUACUGCAGAUUCUUUUCCCAUAUAGGUUAUUACAGAGAUUAUCUUUUCAUGCAUGCAUGAAAAUGGGAAUGCAUAUGGAAAACUGAACAAAAUUUGGCUUCUGAAAAGCAAGAAAGGCGUUUUUGCUUCCAAAUAAGCACCCGUUUCUGAUCAUGUGAGCUCAGAACUAAGAUGACACUAAGAGAUUGGAUGGAAAAUCACAGUGGCCCAGCUGCUGCAUUCUGCUGUGUACAGAGCUAUCAG